GCCAGCAGUCGCCAGGUGUCUCUCACACUGCUGGGAGAGGAAUGUCUUGUCUUCUUCAUCUGGUCGCCCACGUCACUGUUCUAGGGGCUUCUGGCACUGGCGCAAGGCAGAGCUGUGCUUCCUUGAGAGUGUGCCAGGCAUUUACUUUGGUUGCUUCAUUCUAGUCUGGGAGCAGACACA
Small nucleolar RNA from Cercocebus atys (sooty mangabey), 180 nucleotides. Its record names the gene SNORA74. It matches the Rfam family "Small nucleolar RNA SNORA74". From Rfam's summary of the family: U19 belongs to the H/ACA class of snoRNAs. snoRNAs bind a number of proteins (including dyskerin, Gar1p and Nop10p in the case of the H/ACA class) to form snoRNP complexes. This class are thought to guide the sites of modification of uridines to pseudouridines by forming direct base pairing interactions with substrate RNAs. Targets may include ribosomal and spliceosomal RNAs but the exact functions of many snoRNAs, including U19, are not confirmed. The record is from Ensembl. Lineage: Eukaryota; Metazoa; Chordata; Mammalia; Primates; Cercopithecidae.